RNAcentral lists this ribosomal RNA (465 nucleotides) under Vreelandella stevensii. RNAcentral's name for it is "partial 16S ribosomal RNA". It matches the Rfam family "Bacterial small subunit ribosomal RNA", at positions 338 to 795 of the family's 1533-position model. Lineage: Bacteria; Pseudomonadati; Pseudomonadota; Gammaproteobacteria; Oceanospirillales; Halomonadaceae. The record is from RNAcentral.
CCUACGGGGUGCUGCAGUGGGGAAUAUUGGACAAUGGGCGAAAGCCUGAUCCAGCCAUGCCGCGUGUGUGAAGAAGGCCUUCGGGUUGUAAAGCACUUUCAGUGGGGAAGAAAGCCUUGGGGCUAAUACCCUCGAGGAAGGACAUCACCCACAGAAGAAGCACCGGCUAACUCCGUGCCAGCAGCCGCGGUAAUACGGAGGGUGCGAGCGUUAAUCGGAAUUACUGGGCGUAAAGCGCGCGUAGGCGGUCUGAUAAGCCGGUUGUGAAAGCCCCGGGCUCAACCUGGGAACGGCAUCCGGAACUGUCAGGCUAGAGUGCAGGAGAGGAAGGUAGAAUUCCCGGUGUAGCGGUGAAAUGCGUAGAGAUCGGGGGGAAUACCAGUGGCGAAGGCGGCCUUCUGGACUGACACUGACGCUGAGGUGCGAAAGCGUGGGUAGCAAACAGGAUUAGAUACCCUUGUAGUC